RNAcentral lists this ribosomal RNA (251 nucleotides) under uncultured bacterium. RNAcentral describes it as "partial 16S ribosomal RNA". It matches the Rfam family "Bacterial small subunit ribosomal RNA", at positions 524 to 776 of the family's 1533-position model. The record is from RNAcentral.
UACGGGGGGGGGCAAGCGUUGUUCGGAAUUACUGGGCGUAAAGCGCGCGUAGGCGGCUUUUUCAAGUCAGACGUGAAAGCCCAGGCUUAACCUGGGAAUUGCGUUGAUACUGUAGGCUAGAGUGUGGAAGGCUACUGGAAUUCCGGUGUGUAGCGGUGAAAUGCGUAGAUAUUGGGAAGAACACCUGAGGCGAAGGCGGGAUUGCUGGGCUGAUACUGACGCUGAGGCGCGAAAGCCAGGGAGCAAACGGG